GCCUGGGUGGCUCAGUCGGUUAAGCAUCCGACUUCGGCUCGGGUCAUGAUCUCGCUCUCGCGGUCCGUGGGUUCGAGCCCCACAUCGGGCU
RNAcentral lists this transfer RNA (91 nucleotides) under Felis catus (domestic cat). It matches the Rfam family "tRNA". From Rfam's summary of the family: Transfer RNA (tRNA) molecules are approximately 80 nucleotides in length. Lineage: Eukaryota; Metazoa; Chordata; Mammalia; Carnivora; Felidae. The record is from Rfam by way of RNAcentral.